RNAcentral lists this unclassified non-coding RNA (389 nucleotides) under uncultured Glomus. RNAcentral's name for it is "SSU rRNA". It matches the Rfam family "Eukaryotic small subunit ribosomal RNA", at positions 569 to 964 of the family's 1831-position model. The record is from RNAcentral. Lineage: Eukaryota; Fungi; Glomeromycota; Glomeromycetes; Glomerales; Glomeraceae.
AGCAGCCGCGGUAAUUCCAGCUCCAAUAGCGUAUAUUAAAGUUGUUGCAGUUAAAAGCUCGUAGUUGAAUUUCGGGGUUAGCAGAUCGGUCGUGCCACUGGUAUGUACUGGUCUUACUGAUUCCUCCUUCCUGAUGAACCGUAAUGCCAUUAAUUUGGUGUUGCGGGGAAACUGGACUGUUACUUUAGAAAAAUUAGAGUGUUUAAAGCAGGCUAACGCUUGAAUACAUUAGCAUGGAAUAAUGAAAUAGGACGUUCGAUCCUAUUUUGUUGGUUUCUAGGAUUGACGUAAUGAUUAAUAGGGAUAGUUGGGGGCAUUAGUAUUCAAUUGUCAGAGGUGAAAUUCUUGGAUUUAUGAAGACUAACUACUGCGAAAGCAUUUGCCAAGGA